RNAcentral lists this ribosomal RNA (492 nucleotides) under uncultured bacterium. RNAcentral's name for it is "partial 16S ribosomal RNA". It matches the Rfam family "Bacterial small subunit ribosomal RNA", at positions 29 to 507 of the family's 1533-position model. The record is from RNAcentral.
AGUGAACGCUGGCGGUAGGCCUAACACAUGCAAGUCGAACGGCAGCACAGUAAGAGCUUGCUCUUACGGGUGGCGAGUGGCGGACGGGUGAGGAAUACAUCGGAAUCUACUUUUUCGUGGGGGAUAACGUAGGGAAACUUGCGCUAAUACCGCAUACGACCUACGGGUGAAAGCAGGGGAUCUUCGGACCUUGCGCGAUUGAAUGAGCCGAUGUCGGAUUAGCUAGUUGGCGGGGUAAAGGCCCACCAAGGCGACGAUCCGUAGCUGGUCUGAGAGGAUGAUCAGCCACACUGGAACUGAGACACGGUCCAGACUCCUACGGGAGGCAGCAGUGGGGAAUAUUGGACAAUGGGCGCAAGCCUGAUCCAGCCAUACCGCGUGGGUGAAGAAGGCCUUCGGGUUGUAAAGCCCUUUUGUUGGGAAAGAAAAGCGGCAGGUUAAUACCCCGCUGUUCUGACGGUACCCAAAGAAUAAGCACCGGCUAACUUCGUG